UGCCUGCUCUCAGCCAAUCCUCACACCAUCCCAGGUGGUGGGAAUAGAGUGAUUCCCAGUAUACAGCUCUGGAGGUGGAGGCAUGAAGUCUAUCUCCAACACCUUGGGUGUUAUAAUUUUGUAAAAUGGUUGGGCAGGAAAGAAGGACUCUUGCAAAAAGAUCAGGGUCAUUUCUAGGGUGACCAAUUUGGCCAGCAAGUUUACCUGGGGUUUUCUAGUUGUAGCGCUGACCAAAGUCCUGCAUCCUAGGAGCCCCCCUCGGUCCUGGGCAAACCGGGACGGUUGGUGAGCAUAUUUCUAAAGGCCCAAGGAGCACACACAAGAUGCCUUGAGCAGCGCCCUCCACCUCCAAGGAAGCAACUGGAACAACACCGAGCUUCCCUGGAGACCCCAACUGGCUCCCACCUGCCCCUGCUGCGGCAGCAGGACAGCGCACAGGAAGGCCUCCUGGGCAGGCCGGCAUCCACGCCCUUCAUCGCCCCGCCCUGAGCGAGGAGCCCUCCUGCCCGCACACUGCUCUGCUUGAGCCACGGCCUCUGAAGAACAGAAAUAUCUGUGAGAAAUUUUACCUUAAAGAAGCUAAAUAGCAAGACGACGUGGUUAAGUGACAAAGGGAAGAUUUGAACCCAGGUCUGUCCAACUCCCACGCCCAUGAAAAUAAAUAGAGCACUCCAUAAGAAGCUCCACCCAAGUUCAACUCGCUCUGUCCUCAUAGGGACCAAGUCACAGAACGUGUUACAGCUCCAGGGGCAGUCACCCAAGAGACAGAAAGAUGCGAGACAGGUGGGACCGCUAUGCUGGGACUGAACAGGGACUGUGGAGGCCACAGAGAAGCUCAGGAUCACACUAAACCAAGCCCAGUUUGAAAAUUCCCAGGGAAACUGCAGAACUUAUUGUGUUGCCAAAGUAGGACACGCCCUGCUGAGGGCUGAUGAGCUGGGACUGGCUUCAUCCUCAGCAUGAAGAUUCAGUAGUGGAUGGAAAAACAUAGGUCAUGCACAGGACCCAGAGAUGCCACAGAACCUACUCCUUAAAAGGUCCCUAAAUACAGAACAGUGUUUUGUGUCUGCCAAAGUUAGUUAAAGGGUGAAUUUGUCUAUUUACAUUACAAAGGUCUAAUUUUCAUGGUAUAUAAAGAGUUUCUACAAAUCAACAAGAAAAUGGCCAACAACUAAAAAUAAAUCAAAGGCUAUAACCAAAAAAGGAGAUGCAAAUUACUUUUAAACAUGACAAAAAGAUACUUAAUCUCAGUCAUAAAAAUAGAAAUGCAAACUGAAACUACCAUGAGAUACCAUUUUUAAUCUUUCCGAUUAGGAAAAAUAAAAAAGUGGAAUAACAUAGUGUUGGCAAGAGUUGGGGAAACAGACAAGCUCAUACAUUGUUGGUGGGAGUGUAAACACAUGUAGCCUGACUGGAUGGCACUAGAUAGUAUUGUCCAAAAUUAAAAGUGCACAUAUUCUUGGACCCUGCAAUUUGACUAUAAGAUAUACUUGCAAGUGUGUGAAGAGACAAAUCUACACUAAGGAAUUGGAUGUAAUUGCAAAAGACUGCUAACAAACUAAAUGUCCAUCCAGAGGGAACUAAGUAACUUAUGCUAUCCUCACACAAUGGAACGCUCUGCAGCCACUAAAAAUUGAAGAAGGAAGUU
RNAcentral lists this long non-coding RNA (1648 nucleotides) under Equus caballus (horse). Its description in RNAcentral is "lncRNA (ENSECAG00000051044.1)". Lineage: Eukaryota; Metazoa; Chordata; Mammalia; Perissodactyla; Equidae. The record is from RNAcentral.